Molecule: unclassified non-coding RNA, 22 nt
Filed under: Mus musculus (house mouse)
Lineage: Eukaryota; Metazoa; Chordata; Mammalia; Rodentia; Muridae
Description: oocyte_clustered_small_RNA14335
Source: RNAcentral
UCCCGCUGGGAGGGAGAGUGCA